UACGUAGGGUCCGAGCGUUGUCCGGAAUUACUGGGCGUAAAGCGCGCGCAGGCGGCCCGCGAGGUGUCACGUGAAAGCCCCGGGCUCAACCCGGGAGGGUCGUGGCAAACCGGCGGGCUUGAGGCCGGUAGAGGUGGGUGGAACUCCUGGUGGAGUGGUGAAAUGCGUAGAGAUCAGGAAGAACACCCGUGGCGAAGGCGGUGGUCUGGGCCGGUACUGACGCUGAGGAGCGAAAGCGUGGGGAGCGAACAGG
Molecule: ribosomal RNA, 253 nt
Filed under: uncultured bacterium
Lineage: Bacteria
Description: partial 16S ribosomal RNA
Rfam family: Bacterial small subunit ribosomal RNA
Source: RNAcentral